GCUCUACCAUCUGAGCUACAUCCCCAUUC
Molecule: small RNA, 29 nt
Filed under: Arabidopsis thaliana (thale cress)
Lineage: Eukaryota; Viridiplantae; Streptophyta; Magnoliopsida; Brassicales; Brassicaceae
Description: ATSL152490
Source: RNAcentral